CCGCGUAGAGGUGAGAGAGAGAGAUAUAGGGAGGUAGAAGCAGAGGGUCGCUGGAAUAGACGACUGUGGCUGCAGACGGAGCGCCGCGUUGCGCGGAAGUGGGAGAGGAGGAAGAUGGCGGAGACACACGGAACGGCGCCCCGUGUACCUACGGCUGCUAGAUGGCAACGCCUCGCCUAGGAUUCGCGCAGCGGCACGGGACGGACCUCUUCACCGAUCGGUACGGCGGUAGAAGAGAGGUAGCUAACCCAACUUACACACCCUCUUCGAGCCCGAGGUUUAGACACCUCAGUCUAAACCUAAAAGCUAAAGACGUAGAAUAAAGGAAAGCUUCUUCGGGAGAAGUCGCCGUCGCUCGACCUGCUUCAUCAGCCUCGAAUUGACCGGCCAGACAAGCCUAUUUCACCUUGCCGCGUAACCGCCUGGUGCCGGCCUGAGGGUUAUAAACUCUGUGGAAACGGAGAAGGAGUCCUACAUCUGCAAGCAAGGUAUGUACCUACCAAAGAAGAACCGACGGAAACCCGAGCUCGACGGUGUUCAUACUGACUGUACGUGUCAUAUCGACGGUGUUGGCGGUAGUUCAGGUCCAAAUUGACAACCGGAGACCUCUUAUGACUUAAAUCGACUAUGCUCAGGUUACUUUAAAUACGUACACGUGUAUAAGUAAUAUGGUAAUAUCAGUACAUAGUAAGAAUUUAUAAAAACAGUUUAG
Molecule: ribosomal RNA, 712 nt
Filed under: Triticum aestivum (bread wheat)
Lineage: Eukaryota; Viridiplantae; Streptophyta; Magnoliopsida; Poales; Poaceae
Description: partial small subunit ribosomal RNA
Source: RNAcentral